AUUUGAUGUGUACCAAAAAAUAUACACGGUAUUAAACCACCGUAACAAUACAUAUGGCAAGACUUUGAUAUUAAAUACUGUUUUCUAAAGAGGUUGGGAUGGAACAUGUUGAUGCUUGCAUUUGAACCUUUUUCUGUACCCUCGCAUUAAAAAGUGAGUGCGACGGGACCAAGAUUUUUUUUAUAAGUUAAGAACCAAAGCAUGAAAAAAGGUGUUGAUUAUAUGAAAACAUAAGUUGAUACAAUUAGACCUCUAAUGAUUUUGUUCAUUUUUCUCCUUUAAAAUAAAAUUGAGUUAAAGUUUUGUCUUUCUGGACCCUCUAUCCUCGGUAUGCUUCAGACACUGCAACAACUUGUACAAGGAGGAGAGUGGGAGCGACAAACUCCCCCAGAGUAACCCGGAUGAGGUAGUGACGAUGGAAGGAUCCGAAAUUUGGUUGUGUGUCCGAUAUGUCUAUUUUAUCAAAUCUUGUGGUUGUACCGAUUUUGCUUGAAUCCUUGUAUGAAUUUGAUGAUGUUUUUAGGGAGUUAAUGGAAUAUAUAUUAAAAAAAUUUUUUUUGACUUUUUAUUUUUUUCAUUUUAAUAUACUUAUUUCUCAAUUUUUUUUUUAAUUUCUGAUACCAUCAUUUAUUUGAUAUUAUUUGUUUAUGCAUUUAUUAAAGUUUGUUAAAACCUUACAAAUUGUUAUGUAAAUAAAAAAUUUACAUUAAAAUAAGUUUGUAAUAUCAUUCUCUCAAAUAAAAUGUAGUACUAUUUUUUCCACUUAAACAAAAUAGUAUUCACUAAAUGGUUUAAAAACAUAUAUAUAAAUUCAUAUAAUUACUUGGUUUAUAACCAAAUAUUAGUUUUUUCGGGGUGAAAUUUAGAGUUUGGAGAAUAGAGUUUAAGAUUUUAAAUUUAAGAUUGAAGGUAAAAAAUUUAAAAUAUUUUAGAAUAUAUAUUUAUAGUAAAUGUAUUUUUUCAUUAAAAAUAUUUAGUCUUUUUACACUUAAUCUGAAAUGUAUUUUUUUUUCUAUGGACUGUUUGGUCAUAAAUAGUUUUAGGGGGUUUAUGAGAUUUGUCCUAAACUUUAUUAUUCUCUAUGGAAUAUAAAAUGUUUUAGGUAAUACACACUUAUUAAAAAAAUUAUCUUUUACCUAAAAAGUAUCAUUUAAAUUAUAAACUAAAAACUAUAUAACCAAUUAUAAAAUAGAACUAUUAAAUUUGAUUAGUUACACAGUUUUUGAUAAACUAAAAGUUAUCAAAAAAGAUGAGAACAACAUAAAAAUGAUUAUAAACAUCUUACAUUUCAGAAAAUACAUUGUAUUAAGAGAAAUUAGGACUCCUAUACAAAGAUAACUUGUAUAUUUGUCGGGAUGGAAGUCAACCUUUUUUAAUGACGUGUUUUUUUUAAUGUCCAUAGCACCCCUAUCAUAUAAUACUUCAUUCUAAUAUCUAAUAUGUUUUCGAACUCUAUAUCUCAUUAUUACGCAUGAAGAGAGAAACUACACUCAUCACUACAAUCGAUAUACUUUUCUUACGAAAAUAUCUAUUUUAUCUCUCCCAAUCUUUUUGGUUUACGAUCUUCUUUCUCUCACAAUCUCUUUGGUUUCUCCGUAAUUACGACCCUCCUUCUCUCAUAAUCUCUUUGAUUUCUCCGUCAAAACCAUUGUUCACAAAGAAUCUUCCAUCUCACUCAAUGAUCUCUUUGGUUUCUCCGACGGAACCCUUCUCCCUAUAUAAACGAAAUCGCACCGGACUGUCUGUAUCAGUCUCACCAGAUUCGAGAGUCGUGGUGGUGGUGGCACGGAUCGGAUCGUUCGUAGAUCAGAAGCUAUCACACAUGGUACCACCUCUCAGAAAGUUGCUGCUCUCAUCAAUCUGACUUUGAGCUUGAGGAAGAAGAGAUGUCUUUCUGAUGAGGAAGAUGAAUGUAGAUAAAAUGGUCAGCCUUAUCAGAGACCGAUACCCAUUUACAAAGAAAAUGUUCAUAGGAAGAGCUACAAAGGCCGAUGUAGAGCGGAUGAGAGAGGAGGCCGAUGUUGCAGCCCUAGAAAGGAAGAAAAGAAAGAGGAAAAGCACUCAUGUCUUUCACUUUUAUUUAAUAAUAUAAUUUGUGAAGUAGUCGGCUAAUACUUUAUUUGACUUUUUUGUAAUAGUUAGCCGGUAAUAUAUUAAUUAUCUCGACAUUGUUAUAAUUAACCGGUUAAGAUUUUACUUGAUUUUUUGUGAUAUAGCCGGUUAAGAUUUUACUUGAUUUUUUUUUGUUAUAAUUUGGAAAUGUCUUUCAUUUUUUUAAUGAUGAAAUUUGUUAAAUAGCCAUUUAAGAUUUUACUUGACUUUUUUUUGUUAUAGUUAGCCGAUAAAAUAUACAAAUUAUCCCGAUAUUGUUAUAGUUAACCGGUAAUAUAUACUAAUCAAUGAUGUAAUUUUUGAAAUAGCCGGUUAAGAUUUUACUUGAUUUUUUGUUAAUAGUUUAGAAAUGUCUCUCAUUUUUUUUAAUGAUAUAAUUUGUAAAAUAGCCGAUUAAGAUUGUACAUGACUUUUUUGUUAUAGUUAGCCAGUAAUAUAUACAAGUUUUCUCGACAUUAUUAUAGUUAGCCGAUAAUAUAUACUAAUUAAUGAUGUAAUUUUUGAAAUAGCCGGUUACGAUUUUACUUGAUUUUAUGCAAAUUAAAAAAUUUAGGGCCAAAUUGAAAACAUCUAAGACUCUGAGGACCAUUCGGACAAUUCUUAAAGAGUUUGAAAUAUAGAAUGUGAAAGUUUGGUGUUGAUUCGUAAAACUAUUUGUACACUUAGAAAUAUUGGGCCAACUUGAGAAUACCCAAAAGUUGGAGGGCGUGUGUUACAAAACAUAAGAAAUAGCCAUUAUUGCUCGAUCUCUUUUGUGACGAGAUUCCGUGACGAGAUAGAGACGGCAAGGAUGAGCAGGGCGGCAAGGCUUGAAUCGAGCAUGACGAUGUCAACAGGGUAAGACGAUGGAGAUGGUCCGGUGACCGGCGAAGAAGAAGAAGCUUGAGGCAAAAACAUUUAUGGCGGCUCCGUCGAGAUGAACGAGGAAGACGAAGUAAGAUAGAGAUGAAGGAGGAAGACGAAGUACAAGUGUGAAUCUCGGGACAGUCUCAAACUCGACGUUAACAGAGGUGAAAGGAUAAGUAUGGCCAUGAAAGAGAUAAUCUUGACGGCGACGAUUUACAUUCGAAACUAGGAUUACGACGGAAUAAACAAAGCAAUUGGAAACAAUGAGAGAUGAUAUGAUGGAAGAGGGUCGAAGAGUGUAUUAAUUAAUGUAUCCAUUAUAUACCAUAUUUAUUCGUGUGAAAUUAUAUAUAUUAAUAAUUACAUGUAAUCAUUACAAAACCAUACUGCUUCGCUACGUUAAAAAGAAGCUAUAGGGUCAUCCCAGUCUUUUCUCAUGUGCAAGAGCUGGGCCAUACAUUUGGGCCAUCCAUUUUUCCAUUUCCGCAAAUUACUUAAUCUUUCUAUAUUUAACAUGCAAA
This is a long non-coding RNA of Brassica napus (rape), 3479 nucleotides long. RefSeq lists it as uncharacterized. The transcript has 2 exons. The record is from RefSeq and is a predicted model, not a curated record. NCBI's taxonomy places the organism in Eukaryota, Viridiplantae, Streptophyta, Magnoliopsida, Brassicales, Brassicaceae.